Long non-coding RNA from Tachysurus fulvidraco (yellow catfish), 419 nucleotides. RefSeq lists it as uncharacterized. The transcript has 3 exons. The record is from RefSeq and is a predicted model, not a curated record. Lineage: Eukaryota; Metazoa; Chordata; Actinopteri; Siluriformes; Bagridae.
UUAGCAUGUAGCAGUUUUACUAAUCGUUCCUUAUGUGUAACAUUCCAUGAUCCGUUUGUUCACUCCUAGUUUGCAUUGUUUUCCUUCGGUGUGCUUUAGUAGUGAAUUGAACGACUGCUGAACUUUCAGGAGUGGGCACAUUUUGUUUUAUGCUUCAUUUUGUUUUAUGCUUCUACUGCAGUGUUCUCAUUAUGACUCAAAGUCAGAUAUGUACAGUGUUUGGGUGAUCGCUGUUGAGUUGUUCCAGCCCUUUGGGACAGAGAUGGAGUGUGUGCAAACACUUGGAGGUUUGAGAGGGGGGAAUUUUCCGGAAGAACUCAAUGGUCCUGUCUGAGCAAAUUAAAUUGCCGACCAACCUGCACCCCACACUGUGACCAAGUGAAUCCCUACUACUGCAAAGUGAUGCCUUUAACAACAAA